This 468-nucleotide ribosomal RNA is filed under the name uncultured bacterium. RNAcentral describes it as "partial 16S ribosomal RNA". It matches the Rfam family "Bacterial small subunit ribosomal RNA", at positions 28 to 507 of the family's 1533-position model. The record is from RNAcentral.
GACGAACGCUGGCGGCGUGCUUAACACAUGCAAGUCGAACGGAAAGGCCCUGCUUUUGUGGGGUGCUCGAGUGGCGAACGGGUGAGUAACACGUGAGUAACCUGCCCUUGACUUUGGGAUAACUUCAGGAAACUGGGGCUAAUACCGGAUAGGAGCUCCUGCUGCAUGGUGGGGUUUGGAAAGUUUCGGCGGUUGGGGAUGUACUCGCGGCUUAUCAGCUUGUUGGUGGGGUAGUGGCUUACCAAGGCUUUGACGGGUAGCCGGCCUGAGAGGGUGACCGGCCACAUUGGGACUGAGAUACGGCCCAGACUCCAACGGGAGGCAGCAGUGGGGAAUAUUGCACAAUGGGCGGAAGCCUGAUGCAGCAACGCCGCGUGCGGGAUGACGGCCUUCGGGUUGUAAACCGCUUUCGCCUGUGACGAAGCGUGAGUGACGGUAAUGGGUAAAGAAGCACCGGCUAACUACGUG